CGCGGGGCAGGGCCGGGGCCGCAGAGAGGGUUCCCCCGCUGACCCCCGAGCCUUCCCCACGAGGCUCCGUCCGGCCCCGGUGUCCCCUGGUGCCCCGAGGACAGCGGGGUCCGAGGGCUGCCGGACUCUGUUCCCGGCUGCGCCCAAGCUUGGGCAGCGCCCGCAGGCCCCGCGAACACCGGUCUGCCUCUCUGGGGAAACCCUGGGAUUCGUCCGCCUGCUUCGGGGCUCCUUAGGCAGGGCCGGGGGGCAAUCCCGCACCCGCGCAGGACAGAGAUGCGGUGCACAGCCCCGAAAGGGAUGGCGCGGGGGGAAGGCCAGGGGAGCGGGGAACGCGCAAACAGGCGGCUCCCGAGCAGCAGAGAUAUGGAGCCAGACGGGGAGAUAAGGGAGUCCCGCAGCAGCCUUGGCUGGGCCGUGGGGAUCAGGCCCUUCCCAGCGGGCGGCACUGGCAGCCGAGCAGGCCUCACGCCCCCCUGACGGCCGGGGCGGCCGCGGCCCUUCGCGGAGCCGCCUCGGGCCGCUCCGUCGGGCCCCGCCGCCUCACUCCAAACGCGGGCCCGCAGCUCCCUCUGGCGGCGCCGGCCGGGAGGCCGAGCGGGGCCGCCGCCCUCACGGCCCGGCUGCUCCGGGGCUGCGCCGGGAGAGCUGCUGCGGGGCUUUAAACGUCUUUGCAGUGACAUUGUCAUCAGAGCCGGCAGGGAUCGCCCUUGAAGGACCGCGCUGACCUGCCCUUGGCAGAGCCCCGAGCGGCGUGAGACGCGCUCUGCACAACGAGCCCGCCGCCUUUUGGGAUAGCCCACAACGCCCAGGGUCUGUCUUGUAUCAGCCCUGCGUGGGCCCGAGGCGCCGGGAAUCUGUUCUCUGCCAGCUGAGCGGUCCCAUCAGCUGCUGGGGGCAAGUUAUAAGAACUUGUAAAGAUCGGAUCUUUCUCCUUCCGCACAGUCCUCCAAGAUAAAGUACAGUGAUUUUUAAAAGAGGCGUUCUUCAUUCUGAAGAGGAGCAGAAGAGUUUGUCCUGCAUGUUGCUCCAUGUCAGGGUGGCUCAGGUGCCCUUGUGAGAGCAGAGAUCACUGCUCUUUGCACUGGGCCACUCUGAGACUAGCACAAUUAACAGGACCAUCUGUGAAACAUUUUUCUCCUUCUGGGAUGGACUGUGGAAAGAGCAUGGAAGGUCUCCCAGCUCUUGAGAGAACCAGCCUGUACUCAUGCUGCAAAUGCUCCAUCCCCCACAAGUGAGAAGACAUUAACAUAAUGUUAUGGAUGCUCAGUCAAAAGCACUUCAGCAGAAGUCAGUGGAAAUGUUGACAUACUAUUGAGCAGGAGUGAAGGCUGAAGCAGCCAGCCUAGAAGAAAACAAAUGGGACCAUCCAGCACAUGUUUCACCAAAGCUUUCAGAUGUGGGUUGUGUGCCAAAAAAAGGCAUCUGAGGCUAUAUUCGAUACAGAUCAAAUAAAUGCA
Non-coding RNA from Taeniopygia guttata (zebra finch), 1460 nucleotides. NCBI's taxonomy places the organism in Eukaryota, Metazoa, Chordata, Aves, Passeriformes, Estrildidae. The record is from RefSeq and is a predicted model, not a curated record.